RNAcentral lists this ribosomal RNA (1482 nucleotides) under uncultured organism. RNAcentral describes it as "SSU rRNA". It matches the Rfam family "Bacterial small subunit ribosomal RNA". The record is from RNAcentral.
AACGCUGGCGGCGUGCCUAAUACAUGCAAGUCGAGCGAGCGGAACUAACAGAUUUACUUCGGUAAUGACGUUAGGAAAGCGAGCGGCGGAUGGGUGAGUAACACGUGGGGAACCUGCCCCAUAGUCUGGGAUACCACUUGGAAACAGGUGCUAAUACCGGAUAAGAAAGCAGAUCGCAUGAUCAGCUUUUAAAAGGCGGCGUAAGCUGUCGCUAUGGGAUGGCCCCGCGGUGCAUUAGCUAGUUGGUAAGGUAAAGGCUUACCAAGGCGGUGAUGCAUAGCCGAGUUGAGAGACUGAUCGGCCACAUUGGGACUGAGACACGGCCCAAACUCCUACGGGAGGCAGCAGUAGGGAAUCUUCCACAAUGGACGCAAGUCUGAUGGAGCAACGCCGCGUGGGUGAAGAAGGUUUUCGGAUCGUAAAGCUCUGUUGUUGGUGAAGAAGGAUAGAGGUAGUAACUGGCCUUUAUUUGACGGUAAUCAACCAGAAAGUCACGGCUAACUACGUGCCAGCAGCCGCGGUAAUACGUAGGUGGCAAGCGUUGUCCGGAUUUAUUGGGCGUAAAGCGAGCGCAGGCGGAAGAAUAAGUCUGAUGUGAAAGCCCUCGGCUUAACCGAGGAACUGCAUCGGAAACUGUUUUUCUUGAGUGCAGAAGAGGAGAGUGGAACUCCAUGUGUAGCGGUGGAAUGCGUAGAUAUAUGGAAGAACACCAGUGGCGAAGGCGGCUCUCUGGUCUGCAACUGACGCUGAGGCUCGAAAGCAUGGGUAGCGAACAGGAUUAGAUACCCUGGUAGUCCAUGCCGUAAACGAUGAGUGCUAAGUGUUGGGAGGUUUCCGCCUCUCAGUGCUGCAGCUAACGCAUUAAGCACUCCGCCUGGGGAGUACGACCGCAAGGUUGAAACUCAAAGGAAUUGACGGGGGCCCGCACAAGCGGUGGAGCAUGUGGUUUAAUUCGAAGCAACGCGAAGAACCUUACCAGGUCUUGACAUCUAGUGUCAUUUGUAGAGAUACAAAGUUCCCUUCGGGGACGCUAAGACAGGUGGUGCAUGGCUGUCGUCAGCUCGUGUCGUGAGAUGUUGGGUUAAGUCCCGCAACGAGCGCAACCCUUGUUAUUAGUUGCCAGCAUUAAGUUGGGCACUCUAAUGAGACUGCCGGUGACAAACCGGAGGAAGGUGGGGAUGACGUCAAGUCAUCAUGCCCCUUAUGACCUGGGCUACACACGUGCUACAAUGGGCAGUACAACGAGAAGCGAGCCUGCGAAGGCAAGCGAAUCUCUGAAAGCUGUUCUCAGUUCGGACUGCAGUCUGCAACUCGACUGCACGAAGCUGGAAUCGCUAGUAAUCGCGGAUCAGCACGCCGCGGUGAAUACGUUCCCGGGCCUUGUACACACCGCCCGUCACACCAUGGGAGUCUGCAAUGCCCAAAGCCGGUGGCCUAACCUUCGGGAAGGAGCCGUCUAAGGCAGGGCAGAUGACUGGGGUG